UAGGGAAUCUUCGGCAAUGGGGGCAACCCCGACCGAGCAACGCCGCGUGAGUGAAGAAGGUCUUCGGAUCGUAAAACUCUGUUGUUAGAGAAGAACACGAGUGAGAGUAACUGUUCAUUCGAUGACGGUAUCUAACCAGCAAGUCACGGCUAACUACGUGCCAA
Molecule: ribosomal RNA, 164 nt
Filed under: uncultured bacterium
Lineage: Bacteria
Description: partial 16S rRNA
Rfam family: Bacterial small subunit ribosomal RNA
Source: RNAcentral